This 159-nucleotide ribosomal RNA is filed under the name uncultured bacterium. Its description in RNAcentral is "partial 16S rRNA". It matches the Rfam family "Bacterial small subunit ribosomal RNA", at positions 355 to 511 of the family's 1533-position model. The record is from RNAcentral.
UGAGGAAUAUUGGUCAAUGGGCGGAAGCCUGAACCAGCCAAGUAGCGUGCAGGAUGACGGCCCUAUGGGUUGUAAACUGCUUUUGAAGGGGAGUAAAGUGAGUGACUUAUCAUUCAUUGCAAGUACCCUUGGAAUAAGGACCGGCUAAUUCCGUGCCAA